RNAcentral lists this ribosomal RNA (1512 nucleotides) under metagenome. RNAcentral's name for it is "bacterial SSU rRNA". It matches the Rfam family "Bacterial small subunit ribosomal RNA". The record is from RNAcentral.
AGAGUUUGAUCCUGGCUCAGAACGAACGCUGGCGGCGUGCUUAAUACAUGCAAGUCUAACGAGAAAGUCACUUCGGUGGCGAGUACAGUGGCGCACGGGUGAGUAACACGUAGGUGACCUACCUAUUAGUGGGGGAUAACAUUAAGAAAUUAGUGCUAAUACCCCGUAAGCUUUAUAAAUCUGAAUAUUAUAAAGGAAAGAGGGCCUCUCCUUGGAAGCUCUCACUGAUAGAUGGGCCUGCGGACCAUUAGUUUGUUGGUGGGGUAAUGGCCUACCAAGGCGAUGAUGGAUAGCCGGUCUGAGAGGAUGAUCGGCCACACUGGAACUGGGACACGGUCCAGACUCCUACGGGAGGCAGCAGUAGGGAAUAUUGCGCAAUGGGCGAAAGCCUGACGCAGCAACGCCGCGUGAGUGAGGAAGGCCCUCGGGUUGUAAAGCUCUGUCCUAAGGGAAAAAACGUAAACGGUUAAUAUCCGUUUGCUUGAUGGUACCUUAGAAGAAAGCACCGGCUAACUUCGUGCCAGCAGCCGCGGUAAUACGAAGGGUGCAAGCGUUGUUCGGAUUUAUUGGGCGUAAAGGGCGUGUAGGCGGACUUUUAAGUCAGGUGUGAAAUCUCGGGGCUCAACCCCGAAACUGCGCCUGAAACUGGAGGUCUAGAAUCUCACAGAGGAAUAGGGAAUUUCGCAUGUAGGAGUAAAAUCCGUAGAGAUGCGAAGGAACACCAGAGGCGAAGGCGCUAUUCUGGGUGAGUAUUGACGCUGAGGCGCGAAAGCGUGGGGAGCAAACAGGAUUAGAUACCCUGGUAGUCCACGCCGUAAACGAUGAGUACUAGCUAUGAGUAUGGUUACAUAUUUGUGGCGCAGCUAACGCACUAAGUACUCCGCCUGGGGAUUACGGUCGCAAGACUAAAACUCAAAGGAAUUGACGGGGGCCCGCACAAGCGGUGGAUUAUGUGGUUUAAUUCGAAGAUACACGCAGAACCUUACCUGGGUUUGAAAUCCCACGAAUCCCUCAGAGAUGAGGGAGUGCCCUUCGGGGAAUGUGGUGACAGGUGCUGCAUGGUUGUCGUCAGCUCGUGUUGUGAAAUGUUGGGUUAAGUCUCGCAACGAGCGCAACCCUUGUGAUUAGUUGCCAGCAUUAAGUUGGGCACUCUAAUCAGACUGCCUGGGUUAACCAGGAGGAAGGUGGGGAUGACGUCAAAUCCUCAUGGCCCUUAUGCCCAGGGCUACACACGUAAUACAAUGGUCAGUACAGAGGGACGCAAGCUCGCGAGAGCAAGCAAAUCUCAAAAAACUGAUCUCAGUCCGGAUUGGAGUCUGCAACUCGACUCCAUGAAGUUGGAAUCGCUAGUAAUCGCGGAUCAGCAUGCCGCGGCGAAUACGUUCCCGGGCCUUGUACACACCGCCCGUCACACCACGGGAGUUGACUCCACCUGAAGCCGUGACCCUAACCUUUCGGGGAAGGGAGCGUCCACGGUGAGGUUGAUGACUGGGGUGAAGUCGUAACAAGGUA